UCGACGCGAGCACUUGUGCUCGAGUGGCGAACGGGUGAGUAAUACAUAAGUAACCUGCCCUAGACAGGGGGAUAACUAUUGGAAACGAUAGCUAAGACCGCAUAGGUACGGACACUGCAUGGUGACCGUAUUAAAAGUGCCUCAAAGCACUGGUAGAGGAUGGACUUAUGGCGCAUUAGCUGGUUGGCGGGGUAACGGCCCACCAAGGCGACGAUGCGUAGCCGACCUGAGAGGGUGACCGGCCACACUGGGACUGAGACACGGCCCAGACUCCUACGGGAGGCAGCAGUAGGGAAUUUUCGGCAAUGGGGGAAACCCUGACCGAGCAACGCCGCGUGAAGGAAGAAGGUUUUCGGAUUGUAAACUUCUGUUAUAAAGGAAGAACGGCGGCUACAGGAAAUGGUAGCCGAGUGACGGUACUUUAUUAGAAAGCCACGGCUAACUACGUGCCAGCAGCCGCGGUAAUACGUAGGUGGCAAGCGUUAUCCGGAAUUAUUGGGCGUAAAGAGGGAGCAGGCGGCAGCAAGGGUCUGUGGUGAAAGCCUGAAGCUUAACUUCAGUAAGCCAUAGAAACCAGGCAGCUAGAGUGCAGGAGAGGAUCGUGGAAUUCCAUGUGUAGCGGUGA
Molecule: ribosomal RNA, 625 nt
Filed under: uncultured bacterium
Lineage: Bacteria
Description: bacterial SSU rRNA
Rfam family: Bacterial small subunit ribosomal RNA
Source: RNAcentral